RNAcentral lists this transfer RNA (72 nucleotides) under Propionibacteriaceae bacterium. RNAcentral's name for it is "tRNA-Thr". It matches the Rfam family "tRNA". From Rfam's summary of the family: Transfer RNA (tRNA) molecules are approximately 80 nucleotides in length. Their secondary structure includes four short double-helical elements and three loops (D, anti-codon, and T loops). Further hydrogen bonds mediate the characteristic L-shaped molecular structure. tRNAs have two regions of fundamental functional importance: the anti-codon, which is responsible for specific mRNA codon recognition, and the 3' end, to which the tRNAs corresponding amino acid is attached (by aminoacyl-tRNA synthetases). tRNAs cope with the degeneracy of the genetic code in two manners: having more than one tRNA (with a specific anti-codon) for a particular amino acid; and 'wobble' base-pairing, i.e. permitting non-standard base-pairing at the 3rd anti-codon position. The record is from RNAcentral. Lineage: Bacteria; Bacillati; Actinomycetota; Actinomycetes; Propionibacteriales; Propionibacteriaceae.
GCCUCUGUAGCUCAGCGGUAGAGCAUCCGCCUUGUAAGCGGAAGGUCGUGGGUUCGACACCCACCGGAGGCU